Molecule: ribosomal RNA, 238 nt
Filed under: Haptolina ericina
Lineage: Eukaryota; Haptophyta; Prymnesiales; Prymnesiaceae
Description: partial Eukaryotic small subunit ribosomal RNA
Rfam family: Eukaryotic small subunit ribosomal RNA
Source: RNAcentral
CGAAUGGCUCAUUAAAUCAGUUAUCGUUUAUUUGAUAGUACCUUACUACAUGGAUAACCGUGGUAAUUCUAGAGCUAAUACAUGCUUAAAAGCCCCAACUUCUGGAAGGGGUGUAUUUAUUAGAUAAAAAACCAACGUGGGAAACCACUCCUUUGGUGAUUCAUAAUAACUUCUCGAAUCGCAUGGCCUUGUGCCGGCGAUGCUUCAUUCAAAUAUCUGCCCUAUCAACUUUCGAUGG